Betta splendens (Siamese fighting fish) is the source of this 2404-nucleotide long non-coding RNA. Ensembl annotates it as CLOCK-interacting pacemaker-like. NCBI's taxonomy places the organism in Eukaryota, Metazoa, Chordata, Actinopteri, Anabantiformes, Osphronemidae. The record is from Ensembl.
UUAAACUGGAUAUUCCGCGUUUAGCAGGAUGCGUUGUGCUCUUCUAUUGCUGCUGCACAUGCGCUGCCCUCUGAUUGGCUGCCGUGGUGGUUUGACCAACCAAUGGGCGUUCGAUUCUCAGUAAGCGAUCAAAUUCUGGUGGCUGGACGUGGUCAAACAGCCGGUUUAGGCUCGGUUCACGCGGAUGCCAGCUCGUCAAUUUAAUGUUUAAUUGUGUCGCUGUACUACUUUUUAUCUGGCACUCUACUGCAUUCAGGGUCGGAUGACGAAACGCGACGAUAAUGUGCUUUUUGCGCUCUUUAACGUUUUGUCGUUACGUCAGACCGUGACAUCAAGCUAGCUUGAAUCGACUACGAGCAUUUCAAAGUAAAAGCAUGCAAGUUGUCACAGAAACCGCUUAAGGUAAGUAUCGGCUUUAAAUUCAAGACGGUCCUACCUUUGGCAGUAGUAAAUUAAUAGCGCUGUAUUUAUCAUUAGUCAUUUAUUGCCUAUUAAGAAAAUCCUUUUACUCUAAUAUGUUAGUAAUCUGUUUUAUUUCUAAAGUCAGCCGGACAUUCGAUUGUUUGCGAAAUAACUUGACAGACGUUGCAAAAUCUCUACUCGGUUACACGGUGUUCUUUUUGCGCUGCAAUUUGAGAAAGAGAACAAUGAAAGUGAUCACGUUUAACAACAAUUGCGACACGGCGCAGCUGUUUUGCCAGAGCCUUGAUAUGCGCACUACAAUGAACGAGAAACCGGGGAACGGCUGGUAAUUGGAAUAACCUGUUUCACAUUUAAAGGCUCCAGUAUGUCGAAGGAACAACCUUGCUCGUGUGAGCAGAGUCCCGGUGCUACAUCUGUGAAAAGUGCAAAAGAGAAGGACCCGUGUGCGGCUCUCCUGGCAAAAGAUGACAGCAAAGCGGAUGCAGAUGAUUCCAGCGCACGGGGCUCAAACUGCAGCUCAGAAAAGGACUCUGGCUACUCUGAUGGCUCAGACUGGCAGCAGACCGACGUGGAGGAUCAGCGGACAAACCGGAGCCAGUCCAGAGGCGGUGAGCGUGCAGAACCUUCACAGUCCAGCCAGAACCAAAGACCCGGGCUUGGGAGUGCCGGGAAUCCCAGCUUCAUGUCAGCAGGCCAUGAGCUCUCGCCCAUCUACAUUAUCAAGAACAUGGCGGACGUGAUCCAAAAAAGAGGUCAGCUGAUCUGGACUAAUGCGAGCAGGGACACCAGCAGUUCCAGUGCUCCCCAUAUGAUCCUUCUGCCGCAGCCUAGCUUGUUGCCAUCCACUGUUCAACUCCACAAGCCCUUGUCCUUUAAUGCUGCCUCAGGGAGGAAAAUAAAAGGCCCUCGCCCACCUGUUCGUAACGCCUACCCUCGCAUAGCACCGCACCCCAGCAAGAAGCCACCUGAAGCCAGUCUGAGUAAGAGGGUCAGUGGCAAGCUUAGUGAUCCACCCGAGCCCCGGAGUUCAGCUGAUCAGCACCUCUUCAAGCAGCCUUCGGUCUCCGUCUCAGCCUCUGUGCAGCCGUGUUCCUCUUCACCCAAAGACACUCGCUCUCCCUCCAGUUCCACGACUUCCUCCUCGCGCCAAACGUCUCAGUCGGCGUCCAGCCCCCACGGGGCCUCCUCGAUCCUCGCCACCAGGCGGCUUCACAAAAGCGCCACCACUAGCACCCGCCACCGCCGCUUCCUCAACACGGUGGAAAUCCUCCGGCAGUCGGGUUUGUUGGACAUCACGCUGCACACGAAGAAACUCCUGCGCCAGAGCAACGCCACGGAACGCGACAUCGCCCAGCUGCGUCAGCACACGGGGCUGCUGUGCCAGGCUGCCGGCAGCCACAGCCCAGGUGGCAUCACGCGGUGGGAGCAGCUGUAUCGCACCAUGGCAGAGUCCGGUAAUUACCCCGAUUUAGACAUCAACACUCAUCCAGACUCUGCCACACAACCAGAAACUAUCUCCAUGGCUAAAACCAACAGGUCAGGUGCUGGGAGCUCAGACGCAGCAUCUGCUCACCUUUCUACCAGCAUAGCACAGCCAAACCAGAACUGUCCCGUACCACAGCAACCACGCCAAAGGCAAGGCAGGGAGUUUGACGCCAGCAAUAAAUUCUCAGAAAAAGUCACUUUUAUGCCUCCUGACAGCUCUACUGAUUAGCACAGCCUGCAGUGCCUUUACAGAGACAACAAUUACUCAGGGGCAGCCAGCACCGAUCUUCAAGCCUGUGGUUUUAGUGGCUGAAGAUCUUCAUAGUUUAUUCCUGGUUCCUUAAAGCCUAUUUUAUUAUUUUAGUUUCUUAGGGCUCAUACACAAAAUCUCUGCUAGAUUAUAGAAAUCAAAUGACUGCUUGAGAUUUGAGUUACCACAUCUGGUUUGACUUGUCAGAGCCGAUGGAUAAUAAAUGCACUGUGCAAUUUAAUCCCA